GCCGGUGUCACGUACCUGUAGUCCCAGCUACUCGGGAGGCUGAGGCUGGAGGAUCACUUGAGUCCAGGAGUUCUGGGCUGUAGUGCGCUGUGCCAAUCAGGUGUCUGCACUAAGUUCGGCAUCAAUAUGGUGACCUCCCGGGAGCGGGGACCACCAGGUUGCCUAAGGAGGGGUGAACCAGCCCAGGUUGGAAACGGAGCAGGUCAAAACUCCUGUGCUGAUCAGCAGUGGGAUCGCACUUGUGAAUAGCCACCACACUCCAGCCUGGGCAACAUAGCAAGACCCUAUCUCU
RNAcentral lists this signal recognition particle RNA (292 nucleotides) under Aotus nancymaae (Ma's night monkey). RNAcentral describes it as "Metazoan signal recognition particle RNA (ENSANAG00000001358.1)". It matches the Rfam family "Metazoan signal recognition particle RNA". Rfam says of the family: The signal recognition particle (SRP) is a universally conserved ribonucleoprotein. It is involved in the co-translational targeting of proteins to membranes. The record is from RNAcentral. Lineage: Eukaryota; Metazoa; Chordata; Mammalia; Primates; Aotidae.